RNAcentral lists this ribosomal RNA (110 nucleotides) under Cylindrospermopsis raciborskii C07. Its description in RNAcentral is "partial 16S ribosomal RNA". It matches the Rfam family "Bacterial small subunit ribosomal RNA", at positions 1431 to 1533 of the family's 1533-position model. Lineage: Bacteria; Bacillati; Cyanobacteriota; Cyanophyceae; Nostocales; Aphanizomenonaceae. The record is from RNAcentral.
UACCCCAACCGAAAGGAGGGGGAUGCCUAAGGUAGGACUGGUGACUGGGGUGAAGUCGUAACAAGGUAGCCGUACCGGAAGGUGUGGCUGGAUCACCUCCUUUUAGGGAG